AGGAUCCCAUUCCCAGGGCCAGAUCCCAUUCCCAGGACAGGAUCCCUUUCCCAGGGAGGCGAGGAACUCCCAAGGGACAUUUCCAGGGACAGCUUCCCCUGUGCCUUGGAAGGGAUUUUUAAUGGGAUUUGUUCAUCCCAGCCACCUCUGCAGCUCCCAACCUCAUCCAACCCAGCCUCGGCCACUUCCAGGGAUGGAGUGGCCACAAAUUCCCGAGGCAAAUCCCAACCCCUCGGCGCCGCCGUUGGAUUCAUCCCGGAUCCGGGCUGUGUUUGCUCAGCGCGUGUGAUCGCUGCCCGCGCUCCUCCUGGAGCGCAGCUCCCCUUCCCCUUCUCCUUCCCCUUCUCCUUCUCCUUCCCCUUCUCCUUCCCCUUCUCCUUCCCCUUCCCCUUCCCCUUCCCCUUCUCCUUCUCCUUCUCCUUCCCCUUCCCCUUCCCCUUCCCCUUCCCCUUCCCCUUCCCCUUCCCCUUCUCCUUCUCCUUCCCCUUCUCCUUCUCCUUCCCCUUCUCCUUCCCCUUCUCCUUCCCCUUCCCCUUCCCCUUCCCCUUCUCCUUCUCCUUCUCCUUCCCCUUCCCCUUCCCCUUCCCCUUCCCCUUCCCCUUCCCCUUCUCCUUCUCCUUCACCCUCCCCCUCCCCCUCCCCCUCCCCGCCCCCUACCCCUUCCCCUUCCCCUUCACCUUCCCCUGCCCCUGCCCCUUCCCCGUCUCCUUCCCCUUCCCCUUCCCCUUCCCCUUCCCCUUCCCCUCCUUCUCCUUCUCCUUCUCCUUCUCCUUCUCCUUCUCCUUCUCCUUCCCCUUCCCCUUCCCCUUCCCCUUCCCCUUCUCCUUCCCCUUCUCCUUCUCCUUCUCCUUCCCCUUCCCCUUCUCCUUCUCCUUCUCCUUCCCCUUCCCCUUCCCCUUCCCCUUCCCCUUCUCCUUCUCCUUCUCCUUCUCCUUCCCCUUCCCCUUCCCCUUCCCCUUCCCCUUCCCCUUCUCCUUCUCCUUCUCCUUCCCCUUCCCCUUCCCCUUCCCCUUCUCCUUCCCCUUCUCCUUCUCCUUCCCUUCUCCUUCUCCUUCCCCUUCCCCUUCUCCUUCUCCUUCUCCUUCUCCUUCUCCUCCCCCUUUCUCCCCGCUCCCUGUUUUUCGAGCAGGGAACAAUUUUCCGGCCGCACCUUCCCGGCUGAUUCCGCCACGCUCGGGCGCAUCGGGAAUAAAAACAUCCGGGAAUGGAAGGGAUUGGAUUCCCGGGGCAGCGCCGGGAGCAGGGAAGCGUUUCCCGGCGGCUCCGAGGUGCGAGGCUGCGGCAGGAACGGUUCCAUUCUCCAACUGGUGCUGCUGGAUCUGCUGGGAAAAUCCCUUCCCAAAUCCCCUUCCCCAUCCCAAAGAUCCCUUCCAGGUUUGCCUUUGGAAGUUGGGCUGCAAUUCAGAGCUCAAAUUCCGGAUUUUAGCCCAGUCCAUGACCCAAAAUUCCGGAUUUUAUCCCCGUCCGUGA
RNAcentral lists this long non-coding RNA (1470 nucleotides) under Corvus moneduloides (New Caledonian crow). RNAcentral's name for it is "lncRNA (ENSCMUG00000020067.1)". The record is from RNAcentral. Lineage: Eukaryota; Metazoa; Chordata; Aves; Passeriformes; Corvidae.